This 903-nucleotide ribosomal RNA is filed under the name uncultured bacterium. RNAcentral describes it as "bacterial SSU rRNA". It matches the Rfam family "Bacterial small subunit ribosomal RNA", at positions 51 to 951 of the family's 1533-position model. The record is from RNAcentral.
ACACAUGCAAGUCGAACGAAGCAUUUAGAACAGAUUAUUUCGGUAUGAAGUUCUUUAUGACUGAGUGGCGGACGGGUGAGUAACGCGUGGGUAACCUGCCUUGUACUGGGGGAUAGCAGCUGGAAACGGCUGGUAAUACCGCAUAAGCGCACAAUGUUGCAUGACAUGGUGUGAAAAACUCCGGUGGUAUAAGAUGGACCCGCGUCUGAUUAGCUAGUUGGUGAGAUAACAGCCCACCAAGGCGACGAUCAGUAGCCGACCUGAGAGGGUGACCGGCCACAUUGGGACUGAGACACGGCCCAGACUCCUACGGGAGGCAGCAGUGGGGAAUAUUGCACAAUGGAGGAAACUCUGAUGCAGCGACGCCGCGUGAGUGAAGAAGUAAUUCGUUAUGUAAAGCUCUAUCAGCAGGGAAGAUAGUGGCGGUACCUGACUAAGAAGCUCCGGCUAAAUACGUGCCAGCAGCCGCGGUAAUACGUAUGGAGCAAGCGUUAUCCGGAUUUACUGGGUGUAAAGGGAGUGUAGGUGGCCAUGCAAGUCAGAAGUGAAAAUCCGGGGCUCAACCCCGGAACUGCUUUUGAAGCUGUAAGGCUGGAGUGCAGGAGGGGUGAGUGGAAUUCCUAGUGUAGCGGUGAAAUGCGUAGAUAUUAGGAGGAACACCAGUGGCGAAGGCGGCUCACUGGACUGUAACUGACACUGAGGCUCGAAAGCGUGGGGAGCAAACAGGAUUAGAUACCCUAGUAGUCCACGCCGUAAACGAUGAAUACUAGGUGUCGGGGCCCAUAAGGGCUUCGGUGCCGCAGCAACCGCAAUAAGUAUUCCACCUGGGGAGUACGUUCGCAAGAAUGAAACUCAAAGGAAUUGACGGGGACCCGCACAAGCGGUGGAGCAUGUGGUUUAAUU